RNAcentral lists this ribosomal RNA (253 nucleotides) under uncultured bacterium. Its description in RNAcentral is "partial 16S ribosomal RNA". It matches the Rfam family "Bacterial small subunit ribosomal RNA", at positions 524 to 776 of the family's 1533-position model. The record is from RNAcentral.
AACGUAGGAGACGAACGUUGUCCGGAGUUACUGGGCGUAAAGGGCGUGUAGGCGGUUUGUUAAGUCUGGCGUGAAAGCUCUCGGCUAAACCGGGAGAGGUCGUUGGAUACUGGCGAACUUGAGGAUGGUAGAGGCGUGUGGAAUUCCGGGUGUAGUGGUGAAAUGCUUAGAUAUCAAGAGGAACACCUGCGGCGAAGGCGGGUUGCUGGGCCGACACUGACGCUGAGGCGCGAAAGCUAGGGGAGCGAACGGG